This 71-nucleotide transfer RNA is filed under the name Marmota monax (woodchuck). Its description in RNAcentral is "tRNA.Val". It matches the Rfam family "tRNA". Rfam says of the family: Transfer RNA (tRNA) molecules are approximately 80 nucleotides in length. Their secondary structure includes four short double-helical elements and three loops (D, anti-codon, and T loops). Lineage: Eukaryota; Metazoa; Chordata; Mammalia; Rodentia; Sciuridae. The record is from RNAcentral.
GGGGCUGUAGCUCAGUGGCAGAGCUCUUGUCUUACACAUGGGAGGCCCUGGGUUCAAUCCUCAGCACCACA